Molecule: small RNA, 734 nt
Filed under: Arabidopsis thaliana (thale cress)
Lineage: Eukaryota; Viridiplantae; Streptophyta; Magnoliopsida; Brassicales; Brassicaceae
Description: ATSL161420
Source: RNAcentral
AAAGCACUACUACUCCAGAGUUUUUCAAGGUCGUAAACCUUGUAAAUGAUGUUUCCGAAGUAAGCUUUUGUCUAUUUACAGAAUUCUUAAAAUGGUUUUGAGAUUUGAAGUUCUGCUUUCUCAAGAUUUGUAAUGUUAUUGUAUCUUCGCAGAUAGAGGUGAAUACAAUUAUUGGAAACCCAGAAGAAUUCAAGUCUUUAGUUCCUGAUUUCCACACAGACGACACAGAAUUCCAACAGAUUUUGGAACUUGUUAAGAUGGGCUACAGAUUGAAGAAAACUGAAUGGAAUACAAGAUGCGUUGAUGUUUGUCCUGCCCUUGAAGAAGUAGGUCAAAACAAAAUCAAUAACAAAAUAUCUGAUAGCGAGAAGCUUGACAGGAUUUUGACAAUCCUUGAAGAUCUUAACAAGAGAGUCGAGCUGAUUGAGAGGAUUUUGGACAUUAGAAUGGAGGAAAAGAAUAAUCAGAGAUCUGAGGAAGAUGAAAAAAGAAAACAAGAAGAUGAAGGACUAGAAAGACAACCAGAGGUAAUUGUAAAUGUUUCUUUAAAAGCUAUUUGAAAGGAAAGGUUUUACAAUAUAUUUUAAAGGUUAAAUACGUAGUAAACCUUUAAAAUGUACUCUUUCUUUUCGCAGGCUGAAGAAGAAGGAGGACCAGAAAGAAAAGCCGAGGUAAUUGACAAUCUUAACAAGCUAUUUUAAAGGUCUGCUAAUUAUAUUAAUGAUUGACUUAUU